Molecule: ribosomal RNA, 300 nt
Filed under: uncultured Bacillus sp.
Lineage: Bacteria; Bacillati; Bacillota; Bacilli; Caryophanales; Bacillaceae
Description: bacterial SSU rRNA
Rfam family: Bacterial small subunit ribosomal RNA
Source: RNAcentral
GCUAGUGACGGGGCAGCAGCGGGGGGAAAACGUUGGGUGGAAGGGGGUGCCGGGUUGACUUGGGGUAAAGAGCGGGCAGGCGGUCGUUUAAGUGGAAUGUGAAAGCGCACGGCUCAACUGGGGAGGGUCAUUCGAUACUGAUCGACUUGAAGGCAGGAGAGGGAAGUGGAAUUCCGGGUGUAGUGGUGAAAUGCGUAGAUAUCCGGAGGAACACCAGUGGCGAAGGCGACUUCCUGGCCUGUUCUUGACGCUGAGGCGCGAAAGCUGGGGGAGCAAACGGGAUUAGAUACCCGUGUAGUC